RNAcentral lists this ribosomal RNA (247 nucleotides) under uncultured bacterium. RNAcentral describes it as "partial 16S rRNA". It matches the Rfam family "Bacterial small subunit ribosomal RNA", at positions 505 to 751 of the family's 1533-position model. The record is from RNAcentral.
GUGCCAGCAGCCGCGGUAAUACGUAGGUGGCAAGCGUUAUCCGGAUUUAUUGGGCUUAAAGCGCGCGCAGGCGGUUUCUUAAGUCUGAUGUGAAAGCCCACGGCUCAACUGUGGAGGGUCAUUGGAAACUGGGAGACUUGAGUGCAGAUGAGGAAAGUGGAAUUCCAUGUGUAGCGGUGAAAUGCGUAGAUAUAUGGAAGAACGCCAGUGGCGAAGGUGACUUUCUGGCCUGUAACUGACACUGAGG